Molecule: microRNA precursor, 127 nt
Filed under: Solanum lycopersicum (tomato)
Lineage: Eukaryota; Viridiplantae; Streptophyta; Magnoliopsida; Solanales; Solanaceae
Description: miR10536 stem-loop (sly-MIR10536)
Source: miRBase by way of RNAcentral
AAGGAAGCUGACGAUUAGAACAUGUCAAAGGAAUCGGUCCAAUGCAGCUGACUAACGUGCUUAUAUCAAGUGUUGUAAACUCGUUAGUUAACUUUGUUAGACAUGUUCUAAUCGUCAGCUUCCUUCU